AUACGUAGGGUGCGAGCGUUGUCCGGAAUUACUGGGCGUAAAGAGCUCGUAGGUGGUUUGUCGCGUCGUCUGUGAAAUUCCGGGGCUUAACUCCGGGCGUGCAGGCGAUACGGGCAUAACUUGAGUACUGUAGGGGAGUCUGGAAUUCCUGGUGUAGCGGUGAAAUGCGCAGAUAUCAGGAGGAACACCGGUGGCGAAGGCGGGUCUCUGGGCAGUAACUGACGCUGAGGAGCGAAAGCAUGGGUAGCGAACAGGAUUAGAUACCCUGGUAGUCCAUGCCGUAAACGGUGGGCGCUAGGUGUAGGGGUCUUCCACGACUUCUGUGCCGUAGCUAACGCAUUAAGCGCCCCGCCUGGGGAGUACGGCCGCAAGGCUAAAACUUAAAGGAAUUGACGGGG
This 398-nucleotide ribosomal RNA is filed under the name uncultured bacterium. Its description in RNAcentral is "partial 16S ribosomal RNA". It matches the Rfam family "Bacterial small subunit ribosomal RNA", at positions 523 to 918 of the family's 1533-position model. The record is from RNAcentral.